RNAcentral lists this ribosomal RNA (345 nucleotides) under Triticum aestivum (bread wheat). RNAcentral's name for it is "partial small subunit ribosomal RNA". Lineage: Eukaryota; Viridiplantae; Streptophyta; Magnoliopsida; Poales; Poaceae. The record is from RNAcentral.
AUGCUCGCCCAGGGGAUAAUCCAAGCCAGCUCCAGCCCGUUCGCAUCUCCGGUUCUUUUGGUGCAGAAAAAGGACCUUACCUGGCGAUUUUGUGUAGACUAUCGGCAUCUCAAUGCAGUCACUGUCAAGAAUCGCUACCCUCUGCCUGUGAUUGAAGAACUUCUUGACGAGCUAGCAGGGUCACGGUUCUUUACCAGCUUGGGUCUAAGGGCAGGUUACCACCAGAUUCGCAUGCAACCGGAGGAUGAGCAUAAAACAACGUUUAAAACCCACCACGGGCACUUUGAAUUCAAAGUAAUGCCGUACGGUGUCACAGGGGGUCCGUCAACUUUCCAAGGGGGUUAG